RNAcentral lists this long non-coding RNA (1847 nucleotides) under Schizosaccharomyces pombe (fission yeast). Lineage: Eukaryota; Fungi; Ascomycota; Schizosaccharomycetes; Schizosaccharomycetales; Schizosaccharomycetaceae. The record is from RNAcentral.
UAGGCACUUUUGAGGUCAAGUUUAGUAAAAAUUGUAGAACCUUGUAUUUUAGCAAGUAAUUGUUCAAUAAGUGGUAACGGAUAUAUAUUGGGUUUGACAUACUUAUUUAAAGGUUUGUAGUCAACCACCAUUCUCAAGGUGCCUUCCUUUUUCGGAACGAACAUUACUGGACAGGCGUUAAUGGCUUUAGAUUCUCGUAUAAUUCCACUUUUUAAUCCUUGAUUAAUUUCAUCAUUCAUAGCUUGCAUUUUUCCCGGUGGUAGCGGGUAAUUUCUGAUAGGUAAUCUGUAGUUUUCUUGAGUUAGUUCAACUUCAAAUUCUAACCCUUUUAUUGGCUUUGGUAGCUUUUCCGUAUUGGUUUCUGCAGUAAUGUCUUUGAAUUCUUUAUAGAUAUCUGGUAACUCAGGUUCCUUGACAAUAUUUGAAACUUUGUUCAUUUGAGAGAGCGUGUGUUUACUGCUAGAUAUUUCAAUGUUAUUGUCAUAUAAUGUUGUGAAGGAGAUAGCAGCUGGAUGCGAAAAUUUCUUUACAACCAAGAAUUCUGUUUUGAUUGAUAUUCCAUUUAGACUUAUGUUAAGUUUUAUUGUUUUGCGAUUAAUCUUAUUUGGAUAAACUCCACCAUAUAUCACACUUUUUGACCAGGGUCUGGUAGGCAGUUUAUGUGCUCGAACAGUUUCUUCUGUUAUAAUAUUUGCUUGAGCGCCCGUAUCGAUUAGACAGGGUAUUGAGCACUUGAAGUCUGGAAGUUCAGCUUGUAAUACCAUUUCGUAACGUUUCCUAGUAUGAUUUAGGAAUUUGUUAGAUGAGUAUUCUAUUCUCGAAACAUUUGUCUUCCUCAGGUUUCUGCUAUUAGUGGUGUUAUUUUUCUUUGAAAGGGACUCUUUUCCUAGAUUUUUAUUUUGCGGUUGAAAACGCUUGUGAGUUUUACCAUACGAGGCUGUUCUUUUGUCCUCUAAAAAGUCAUAAAUUUCACUGAUUUCUGAUUUCCAGUAAUUUCUUUCCUUUAAUUUCCUUAAGGAAUAUGGCAGCAUCCAUAAUAUAAACAAGCGAGUAUGGAAAUCAUCAACAUUUGCUUUUGACAUGAGUUUCCUUAUAAAUUGAACUUUGUCCAAUUGAUUUCUAAAACCUUCAAAUGUUUUAGUUAAACGAUCACCUUUGUUGGAUCCUUGUACUUUCCCUGUUUGUCUGAGUAAUUCUUGCCAUGUAAGACUUCCAUUCUCAGAAAACAUGCGUUCAGCGAAUUGUUGCUCUAAUUCUUCUAGGUGAUUCAAUGUAUACUGUCUUUUAGUAUGCUCAUUUGGGAAUAAUGAAGGGUAUUCAGUAAAGUGUUGAUCAAGUUUUGAAAUGUAACUUUCAACAUCCUUAUUUGGAUCGAAUUUCCCUAUCUCUGGUACAUGCUUCGAUAAUAUUUUUGCAAAAAGGUUUAUUAAAUGUUCGUCUGAUGUUUGAAUUCCAUCCAAAUUCUCUGGUCUCCAUCGUUUUGCUCUUGCUUUCAUAUAACGAUAAUUUGCGUAGGACAUUGUAUAUGUUUCCCUUUGGGAGAUUUCAAAAGGGAUAACAGUCCUUCCAAAGUUCCUUCUCCUUUGAACCCAGAAGGAGAGAAAUAUAUAUAUUUAUGAUAUAUAUUUAUUCAAUAAUUCCUUUUUCCUAAAAGGAGUUAAUUGUAGAUCACAAGAGUUCAGUUAUUGUAAGCUACGCAGUUUGGUAUCUGAUUUAAGGAUACGUAGAACUGCGGUGAGUUUUCCUUGUGAUCUAUUAUAUUACGAUACACAGGUUGUAUAAGUAGCAACUGAGUAUAGGUAUUGUAUUAACUGGGUUAUAAUGUUACCUAUCACUAAUAUAGCUCA